CAGAAAAGAGUCCGGAUGGAAACGGCCAUCAGGGGACUGACUGGUGCGCUGUACUGUAGUCAAUGGCAGAGGGAUUCCUAAUGCUUUGGCAUCAGGUGGCUGUCCAGUCAGGGUAGGUGGGGAUCUCCUACCCUGUGCUUUAGAUGCAGCUGAUCUUUAUGAUGCGGAGACAGGCUCAUCAUUGACCAGACAGUCCUCAUUCGGCAGAGAUCCUUUUGCAUCUGAGGAACAGAGAGCUCAUGCACAGGGACGUUUCUCAGAAGCUGUUGGAGAUCUCUCAGCAUUGUCUGACCACACAGUCAACAAUAAUCCUGGGCCAUUAGAGGAUGCUCUGCAGCAUCUUAUCCAUGUUUCAACAUACACACGCAGCCACUGGAGACAGGCGAAAGAGCCGGAAGAGGAAGGCCACUGAUCACCGGUAUGCAGUGCCUUCUUGCCCCAAGGCUCUAAAGACCAAGCUCAAUGCUGCAGCGUGAGAAGAUCAAUGGGAAAGGAGGGCCAAGAAGAACAUGACUGCUCUUCUGGAGGAGCUGAAAGAUAAAAAUGCAGAAUAAAGAUUACAAUACAAGUAUAAACCAUAAUUAAGAAUAGUAAGACACUAAAUAACCUUUGAUUAAAAAGACAGCUAGCAGACAAUUUUCGUGCCCGAGAUUUAGAAAUCAAUAAAUUCAAAAGCUUAACAUGAUACUGUGCAGCUAGUUAGAGAUAUUGGUCAUCAACCUUUAAUCUUGUUUUUUUUUUUUAAGAAGGCUAGAUUAACUUAAAAAUUGCCCACUCCAUUGUUGUAACUUCAGUUGGUUAUGGGACACUGCAAAAAUCCUGGAAAAUGAUUUAUUGAAAAGAGUGGGAACCCUGUUUUAUUUUUCUUUAUUCAUUAUUUAUUUUUUGUUCAAUUGUCAUUAUUUGUUUUUUCAUUUUCGCAUUACUUUUUCUUAUUUAUUCAUCAUCAUUUAUUUAUUUUGUCUAUUUGAAUAUUGUAAAUAUUAAAGAUUGACAGUA
Molecule: long non-coding RNA, 999 nt
Organism: Acanthochromis polyacanthus (spiny chromis)
Lineage: Eukaryota; Metazoa; Chordata; Actinopteri; Pomacentridae
Exons: 3
Source: RefSeq, a predicted model, not a curated record